CCUACGGGUGGCUGCAGUGGGGAAUAUUGCACAAUGGGGGAAACCCUGAUGCAGCGACGCCGCGUGAGUGAAGAAGUAAUUCGUUACGUAAAGCUCUAUCAGUAGGGAAGAAACACUGACCUUACGGUCAGCAGACGGUAGAUGAGAAAGAAGCCCCGGCGAAAGACGCGCCAGCAGCCGCGGGAAUACGGAGGGGGCGAGCGUUGUCCGGAUUUACUGGGUGGAAAGGGUGCGUAGACGGUGCGCCAAGUCUGGAGUGAAAUGCCGCAGCUUAACUGCGGAAGUGCUGUGGAAACUGGCGAUCUAGAGUGCGGGAGGGGUAAGCGGAAUUCGUAGUGUAGCGGUGAAAUGCGUAGAUAUUAGGAGGAACACCGGUGGCGAAGGCGGCUUACUGGACCGUAACUGACGUUGAGGCUCGAAAGCGUGGGUAGCAAACAGGAUUAGAUACCCUAGUAGUC
RNAcentral lists this ribosomal RNA (458 nucleotides) under uncultured bacterium. RNAcentral's name for it is "partial 16S ribosomal RNA". It matches the Rfam family "Bacterial small subunit ribosomal RNA", at positions 338 to 795 of the family's 1533-position model. The record is from RNAcentral.